GACGAACGCUGGCGGCGUGCUUAACACAUGCAAGUCGAACGGAAAGGCCCUGCUUUUGUGGGGUGCUCGAGUGGCGAACGGGUGAGUAACACGUGAGUAACCUGCCCUUGACUUUGGGAUAACUUCAGGAAACUGGGGCUAAUACCGGAUAGGAGCUCCUGCUGCAUGGUGGGGGUUGGAAAGUUUCGGCGGUUGGGGAUGGACUCGCGGCUUAUCAGCUUGUUGGUGGGGUAGUGGCUUACCAAGGCUUUGACGGGUAGCCGGCCUGAGAGGGUGACCGGCCACAUUGGGACUGAGAUACGGCCCAGACGCCUACGGGAGGCAGCAGUGGGGAAUAUUGCACAAUGGGCGGAAGCCUGAUGCAGCAACGCCGCGUGCGGGAUGACGGCCUUCGGGUUGUAAACCGCUUACGCCUGUGACGAAGCGUGAGUGACGGUAAUGGGUAAAGAAGCACCGGCUAACUACGUG
Molecule: ribosomal RNA, 468 nt
Filed under: uncultured bacterium
Lineage: Bacteria
Description: partial 16S ribosomal RNA
Rfam family: Bacterial small subunit ribosomal RNA
Source: RNAcentral